AGAGUUUGAUCCUGGCUCAGGAUGAACGUUGGCGGCGUGGAUUAGGCAUGCAAGUCGUGCGGUAAGGCUCCUUCGGGAGUACACGAGCGGCGAAAGGGAGAGUAACGCGUGGAUUAUCUACCCUCGGGUCGGGAAUAGCGGCGGGAAACUGCCGGUAAUGCCCGAUGACGUCUCCGGACCAAAGCUCCGGCGCCCGAGGAGGAGUCCGCGUCCUAUUAGCUUGUUGGUGGGGUAAAGGCCUACCAAGGCUACGAUGGGUACCGGGCGUGAGAGCGUGGCCCGGCUCACUGGGACUGAGACACUGCCCAGACACCUACGGGUGGCAGCAGUGGGGAAUAUUGCACAAUAGGCGCAAGCCUGAUGCAGCCAUGCCGCGUGUGUGAAGAAGGCUCUAGGGUCGUAAAGCACUUUCAGCGAGGAGGAAAGGUUGUAAGUUAAUACCUUGCAGCUGUGACGUUACUCGCAGAAGAAGCACCGGCUAACUCCGUGCCAGCAGCCGCGGUAAUACAC
RNAcentral lists this ribosomal RNA (510 nucleotides) under uncultured Oceanospirillales bacterium. RNAcentral describes it as "partial 16S ribosomal RNA". It matches the Rfam family "Bacterial small subunit ribosomal RNA", at positions 8 to 528 of the family's 1533-position model. The record is from RNAcentral. Lineage: Bacteria; Pseudomonadati; Pseudomonadota; Gammaproteobacteria; Oceanospirillales.